CCUCUUACCUGGCGAGGGACAGACCGUGGUCAAGAAGGGAGCUCUCCCUGGUUGAGGCUAGUCCAACACACUCCAGCUGCUCUGACCCCUGCGAUUUCCCUACACGCGGGGCCCUUGUCUGCGGUGGUGUUUGCGCUACCCGGGGGCUGGGUUCGCGCAGGCUCCUG
Gorilla gorilla gorilla (western lowland gorilla) is the source of this 167-nucleotide small nuclear RNA. Its record names the gene U1. It matches the Rfam family "U1 spliceosomal RNA". Rfam says of the family: U1 is a small nuclear RNA (snRNA) component of the spliceosome (involved in pre-mRNA splicing). Its 5' end forms complementary base pairs with the 5' splice junction, thus defining the 5' donor site of an intron. The record is from Ensembl. Lineage: Eukaryota; Metazoa; Chordata; Mammalia; Primates; Hominidae.